Molecule: transfer RNA, 73 nt
Filed under: Stegodyphus mimosarum
Lineage: Eukaryota; Metazoa; Arthropoda; Arachnida; Araneae; Eresidae
Rfam family: tRNA
About the family: Transfer RNA (tRNA) molecules are approximately 80 nucleotides in length.
Source: Rfam by way of RNAcentral
GCUUUCGUGGUGUAGUGGUCAGCAUGCUCGACGCGUAACCGAGAGGUCCGUGGUUCGAUUCCAGACGAGGGCG